CCCUCUCUCUCUAUGCGCAAAGCCGGCGGCCACAAAGGCCUCCCUCUCUGCUCCCUCUCUCUCUCUCUACACAACAACAAAGACAGCGACAAGGAGGAGACAAGCCGGAUCCGGUGGAGGGCAACCGAAUUUGAUGGAGGCCAGCAAGAUCCGGUGAAGGACAGUGCCAGCGUCGCCGAUGGGGCAAGUAUAGUCUUCCCAUCUCUCAUAACUCGUGAAAUGCCGAGUAGGCACGAAUUCCCCCAAUUUGCAAUCUUCGUAUCUUUGUCUCCGUCCCUCACUCUUCACUCUGCCCUUUUGCAGAUCUGGUGCUAGCUGGAGCCGCACAAAUGAACGCAGUGGCGGGCAGAACCCUAGGAACCAGCACGAACGAGGACGACUGUGGCGGCAAGCAGGAGGACGGUGGUGCACAAGCGACCUUCAGGAUGUCGACAGGAGCUGGCACGGACCGUGGAAAGGAUGGCCUACACGACGGCAGCUCCAGGAGAUAGAGCUAGGUGGCUCCAGGAUCUGGAUUUUUUUUAUUUUUUUGGUUAACUGAGGCGAGCCUAGUAUAGUGACUGCCUUCGUAAAGGCCUAUUAACAGAGGCGGUUACCUUAUGGCGCCUGUCUCUGUUAAGGUUUUAAUGGAGGCGGGCAUGGGCAACCGUCUCCAUUAAGUCAUGAUUAACCGUGACCUAUCGUUGGAGACGGUUGCCUCAGCUCGCCUCCAUUAAAAAAACUAUAGUAGUGAUAAUGUGAUAUGAUGGGGACAAAAAGAGACCAUACCUUUGGAUCAAAAAGAGACCAGCAGGGACUAAUAUCAAUGCAAGGCUUGCUAGAAUUGGAAGGCAUCGAGAUAACCCAUGUGACAAGAACAUUCCAAUUUAACACAUUGUAGUGUUCCCACAUCCAAAAGUAUCACACACUAAUCAAUGUAUACAAUACUGAGAGAGUGACACUGAAUCACUCUCCGUCGAAUAGUCCGACAAAUUAGGCCCGAGAAAAGGUAGUAGUUGAAUGCCUAAAAAGGCCAGGUUGUCCUAGAGUUGCUGGUUGGGCAAGUUUGAAGGAUGUCUAUUUACCUGGAGGCAGGUGCAUGAUAAUGCUAACUAGAGAAAAGAAAAUCAAUGAGAGAUGACAAGCGAGAUAAACAUUUUGAGAUGAUGGAGAUCACAAGGAUGACCAUAAGUUGGUGAAGACAGAAAAGGCCCACAGUUGGUGAAGUUAGGAGCUGACUGGUGCUGGAUGUUUGGUUGGGGUUGUUAAAGUUUAACAGCUGUAGCAUUUUCGUUUUAUUUGACAAUUAGUGUCCAAUCAUAGACUAAUUAGGCUCAAGAGAUUCAUCUCGCAAAUUACUCUCUACCUGUGUUUUUAGUUUUGUAAAUAGUUUGUAUUGAGUACUUCAUACAUGUGUCC
Molecule: long non-coding RNA, 1398 nt
Filed under: Sorghum bicolor (sorghum)
Lineage: Eukaryota; Viridiplantae; Streptophyta; Magnoliopsida; Poales; Poaceae
Description: long non-coding RNA (SBIC_LNC000092)
Source: RNAcentral